AGUUGCCGAAGAAUGAGUUGAUGUUACGGAGGAAGCGGAAGGAUUCGUACGAUUAGAAACCGAAGGAACGACUGCUAGAAGGUGCGGUGUGGAUAGUUGCCGAAGAAUGAGUUGAUGUUACGGAGGAAGCGGAAGGAUUCGUACGAUUAGAAACCGAAGGAACGACUGCUAGAAGGUGUCAAAAAAGUCGUGAAUCCACGGACAUAUGCCGAUGCAUAUUAACAAUACUCACCAAUAAAUGAAGCUGGUGUGCUACCAUCUGCUCUAACCAGAAACUCCAACUUACCGCUGGUUGGUGUAGCAUUAUCCGCAUUAGUCCGUUUUGCUGCAGAAUUAACAUACGGAGAAGCAGAUGAAGCGUGGGCCGGCGAAGGAACGGAUGCUGGAAUAUAAUCGAAAGCAAAAGGGAUUAAUGUACCUUUUCCCACUGAUUACCUGGAUAAGCCAUAAAACUACCUGGACGUGGUGCACCACUUUUCGAGGACUUCGACGGCGGGAUCUGUCCCUUUUCUUUCAACACCCGAGAAUUCAUCGUUUUAAUUAUUUACUUGUUUUAAACACAGCCACUUGAGUCAAAAUUUUAGUCCGAAUGAUUUAACCCGGCUCGUUGGUUUUUCUACCCGCCUCAUGCCGGUGCUGUACGCGUACGCUUACUUGCUCUGU
Anopheles coustani is the source of this 663-nucleotide long non-coding RNA. RefSeq lists it as uncharacterized. The transcript is spliced from 4 exons. The record is from RefSeq and is a predicted model, not a curated record. Lineage: Eukaryota; Metazoa; Arthropoda; Insecta; Diptera; Culicidae.